AGCGAACGCUGGCGGCAGGCCUAACACAUGCCAGUCGAACGAACCUUUCGGGGUUAGUGGCGGACGGGUGAGUAACACGUGGGAACGUGCCUUUAGGUUCGGAAUAACUCAGGGAAACUUGUGCUAAUACCGAAUGUGCCCUUCGGGGGAAAGAUUUAUCGCCUUUAGAGCGGCCCGCGUCUGAUUAGCUAGUUGGUUGAGGUAAUGGCUCACCAAGGCGACGAUCAGUAGCUGGUCUGAGAGGAUGAUCAGCCACAUUGGGACUGAGACACGGCCCAAACGCCUACGGGAGGCAGCAGUGGGGAAUCGUGAGCAAUGGGAGAAAGCCUGACGCAGCCAUGCCGCGUGAAUGAUGAAGGUCUUAGGAUUGUAAAAUUCUUUCACCGGGGACGAUAAUGACGGUACCCGGAGAAGAAGCCCCGGAUAACUUCGUG
RNAcentral lists this ribosomal RNA (434 nucleotides) under uncultured bacterium. RNAcentral's name for it is "partial 16S ribosomal RNA". It matches the Rfam family "Bacterial small subunit ribosomal RNA", at positions 29 to 507 of the family's 1533-position model. The record is from RNAcentral.